GAGACCGAACCAACAUCUGUACGCGUGACCUCUGGACAAUAGAAAGGACAGCAACCCUGAAACAGCAAGAUCCGGUCCAGGGUUCUCCAAGCAGUGAGGUGUCCAUCCCCUGCAGUGUCUCUCAGUCUGACCUCCUGACCUUUGACCUCACCUGGAGAUUCAACCAGAUAGUCACCAUCCUCACCUCCACCUACACCAAGGGCACACCUCAGAUGUAUGUUGAUGACCAGUGGAAGGAGCAGGUUCAGAGUUUGUCUGACUCUGGCAGCCUUCAGCUCCACAAGUUAACCAUGAUCCACCAGGGGACCUACAGCUGUGAACUCUCUACUGCCAGAGAAACAUAUAUAUAUAUAUAUAUAUAAAUAUUCAUGUCCUUAUGGUUACAGGCAUUUACUCAUACUAGCUGUUUGUGUGUCUGAAUCCUGCUAACUCACCCUAAAACUCACCUAUCCCCCUCCAGCAAAUACAAAUGUCAAAAUGAAAACGACCGGACUGUAAUACCACUUCAGACUGGAGAAGAAAGAGAGGAAGACAUAGAAAGACAACAACAAGGUGAAGGAGAAGAGGGGUUAGCCACARCAACCAUAGUAAUGCCWUGAAUCAACAUUAAGACAACUUUCCAUAAAAAACAAAACAUUAAUAACAUUCAGAGAACUUACCAAUGUUUUGAAUCUCACUGACAUCACGCCACAAUAAAACAUUUAUGUGUUUGCAUGA
This is a long non-coding RNA of Salvelinus sp. IW2-2015, 717 nucleotides long. RefSeq lists it as uncharacterized. Lineage: Eukaryota; Metazoa; Chordata; Actinopteri; Salmoniformes; Salmonidae. The record is from RefSeq and is a predicted model, not a curated record.